UACGUAGGUGGCAAGCGUUAUCCGGAAUUAUUGGGCGUAAAGGGAGCGUAGGCGGCAUGAUAAGUUAGAUGUGAAAGCCCGGGGCUUAACCCCGCGGAUUGCAUUUAAAACUAUCAAGCUAGAGUACAGGAGAGGAAAGCGGAAUUCCUAGUGUAGCGGUGAAAUGCGUAGAUAUUAGGAAGAACACCAGUGGCGAAGGCGGCUUUCUGGUCUGUAACUGACACUGAGGCGCGAAAGCGUGGGGAGCAAACAGGAUUAGAUACCCUGGUAGUCCCU
Molecule: ribosomal RNA, 276 nt
Filed under: uncultured prokaryote
Description: partial 16S ribosomal RNA
Rfam family: Bacterial small subunit ribosomal RNA
Source: RNAcentral